Molecule: ribosomal RNA, 561 nt
Filed under: uncultured bacterium
Lineage: Bacteria
Description: partial 16S ribosomal RNA
Rfam family: Bacterial small subunit ribosomal RNA
Source: RNAcentral
UGGGGAAUAUUGGACAAUGGGCGAAAGCCUGAUCCAGCAAUGCCGCGUGAGUGAUGAAGGCCUUAGGGUUGUAAAGCUCUUUCGCACGCGACGAUGAUGACGGUAGCGUGAGAAGAAGCCCCGGCUAACUUCGUGCCAGCAGCCGCGGUAAUACGAAGGGGGCUAGCGUUGUUCGGAAUUACUGGGCGUAAAGGGCGCGUAGGCGGCUCGUCAAGUCAGGCGUGAAAUCCCCGAGCUUAACUUGGGAAUAGCGCUUGAGACUGGCGAGCUUGAGUCCGGGAGAGGUGAGUGGAAUUCCCAGUGUAGAGGUGAAAUUCGUAGAUAUUGGGAAGAACACCAGUGGCGAAGGCGGCUCACUGGACCGGCACUGACGCUGAGGCGCGAAAGCGUGGGGAGCAAACAGGAUUNGAUACCCUGGUAGUCCACGCCGUAAACGAUGAGUGCUAGACGUUGGGGUCCUUAGGGGNUUCGUGUCGCAGCUAACGCAUUAAGCACUCCGCCUGGGGAGUACGGCCGCAAGGUUGAAACUCAAAUGAAUUGACGGGGUCAUAGCUGUUUCCU